UUUUUUAUGGUGUAUAUAGCACAUUGGUUUUUCAUGCCAGAGGAGGAAGUGUUUCCUGAC
This 60-nucleotide transfer RNA is filed under the name Lyrodus sp. FL G0. RNAcentral's name for it is "tRNA-Glu". Lineage: Eukaryota; Metazoa; Mollusca; Bivalvia; Myida; Teredinidae. The record is from RNAcentral.